UACGUAGGGUGCAAGCGUUAAUCGGAAUUACUGGGCGUAAAGCGUGUGCAGGCGGUUUUGUAAGUCUGAUGUGAAAUCCCCGGGCUCAACCUGGGAAUUGCAGUGGAGACUGCAAGGCUAGAAUCUGGCAGAGGGGGGUAGAAUUCCACGUGUAGCAGUGAAAUGCGUAGAGAUGUGGAGGAACACCGAUGGCGAAGGCAGCCCCCUGGGUCAAGAUUGACGCUCAUGCACGAAAGCGUGGGGAGCAAACAGG
RNAcentral lists this ribosomal RNA (253 nucleotides) under uncultured bacterium. RNAcentral's name for it is "partial 16S ribosomal RNA". It matches the Rfam family "Bacterial small subunit ribosomal RNA", at positions 524 to 776 of the family's 1533-position model. The record is from RNAcentral.